Molecule: ribosomal RNA, 2499 nt
Filed under: Escherichia sp. MOD1-EC5449
Lineage: Bacteria; Pseudomonadati; Pseudomonadota; Gammaproteobacteria; Enterobacterales; Enterobacteriaceae
Description: bacterial LSU rRNA
Rfam family: Bacterial large subunit ribosomal RNA
Source: RNAcentral
GUGUGUUAGUGGAAGCGUCUGGAAAGGCGUGCGAUACAGGGUGACAGCCCCGUACACAAAAAUGCACAUGCUGUGAGCUCGAUGAGUAGGGCGGGACACGUGGUAUCCUGUCUGAAUAUGGGGGGACCAUCCUCCAAGGCUAAAUACUCCUGACUGACCGAUAGUGAACCAGUACCGUGAGGGAAAGGCGAAAAGAACCCCGGCGAGGGGAGUGAAAAAGAACCUGAAACCGUGUACGUACAAGCAGUGGGAGCCUCUUUAUGGGGUGACUGCGUACCUUUUGUAUAAUGGGUCAGCGACUUAUAUUCUGUAGCAAGGUUAACCGAAUAGGGGAGCCGAAGGGAAACCGAGUCUUAACUGGGCGUUAAGUUGCAGGGUAUAGACCCGAAACCCGGUGAUCUAGCCAUGGGCAGGUUGAAGGUUGGGUAACACUAACUGGAGGACCGAACCGACUAAUGUUGAAAAAUUAGCGGAUGACUUGUGGCUGGGGGUGAAAGGCCAAUCAAACCGGGAGAUAGCUGGUUCUCCCCGAAAGCUAUUUAGGUAGCGCCUCGUGAAUUCAUCUCCGGGGGUAGAGCACUGUUUCGGCAAGGGGGUCAUCCCGACUUACCAACCCGAUGCAAACUGCGAAUACCGGAGAAUGUUAUCACGGGAGACACACGGCGGGUGCUAACGUCCGUCGUGAAGAGGGAAACAACCCAGACCGCCAGCUAAGGUCCCAAAGUCAUGGUUAAGUGGGAAACGAUGUGGGAAGGCCCAGACAGCCAGGAUGUUGGCUUAGAAGCAGCCAUCAUUUAAAGAAAGCGUAAUAGCUCACUGGUCGAGUCGGCCUGCGCGGAAGAUGUAACGGGGCUAAACCAUGCACCGAAGCUGCGGCAGCGACACUAUGUGUUGUUGGGUAGGGGAGCGUUCUGUAAGCCGUUGAAGGUGGCCUGUGAGGGUUGCUGGAGGUAUCAGAAGUGCGAAUGCUGACAUAAGUAACGAUAAAGCGGGUGAAAAGCCCGCUCGCCGGAAGACCAAGGGUUCCUGUCCAACGUUAAUCGGGGCAGGGUGAGUCGACCCCUAAGGCGAGGCCGAAAGGCGUAGUCGAUGGGAAACAGGUUAAUAUUCCUGUACUUGGUGUUACUGCGAAGGGGGGACGGAGAAGGCUAUGUUGGCCGGGCGACGGUUGUCCCGGUUUAAGCGUGUAGGCUGAUUUUCCAGGCAAAUCCGGAGAAUCAAGGCUGAGGCGUGAUGACGAGGCACUACGGUGCUGAAGCAACAAAUGCCCUGCUUCCAGGAAAAGCCUCUAAGCAUCAGGUAACAUCAAAUCGUACCCCAAACCGACACAGGUGGUCAGGUAGAGAAUACCAAGGCGCUUGAGAGAACUCGGGUGAAGGAACUAGGCAAAAUGGUGCCGUAACUUCGGGAGAAGGCACGCUGAUGGUAGGUGAAGCGACUUGCUCGUGGAGCUGAAAUCAGUCGAAGAUACCAGCUGGCUGCAACUGUUUAUUAAAAACACAGCACUGUGCAAACACGAAAGUGGACGUAUACGGUGUGACGCCUGCCCGGUGCCGGAAGGUUAAUUGAUGGGGUCAGCCGCAAGGCGAAGCUCUUGAUCGAAGCCCCGGUAAACGGCGGCCGUAACUAUAACGGUCCUAAGGUAGCGAAAUUCCUUGUCGGGUAAGUUCCGACCUGCACGAAUGGCGUAAUGAUGGCCAGGCUGUCUCCACCCGAGACUCAGUGAAAUUGAACUCGCUGUGAAGAUGCAGUGUACCCGCGGCAAGACGGAAAGACCCCGUGAACCUUUACUAUAGCUUGACACUGAACAUUGAGCCUUGAUGUGUAGGAUAGGUGGGAGGCUUUGAAGUGUGGACGCCAGUCUGCAUGGAGCCGACCUUGAAAUACCACCCUUUAAUGUUUGAUGUUCUAACGUGGACCCGUGAUCCGGGUUGCGGACAGUGUCUGGUGGGUAGUUUGACUGGGGCGGUCUCCUCCUAAAGAGUAACGGAGGAGCACGAAGGUUGGCUAAUCCUGGUCGGACAUCAGGAGGUUAGUGCAAUGGCAUAAGCCAGCUUGACUGCGAGCGUGACGGCGCGAGCAGGUGCGAAAGCAGGUCAUAGUGAUCCGGUGGUUCUGAAUGGAAGGGCCAUCGCUCAACGGAUAAAAGGUACUCCGGGGAUAACAGGCUGAUACCGCCCAAGAGUUCAUAUCGACGGCGGUGUUUGGCACCUCGAUGUCGGCUCAUCACAUCCUGGGGCUGAAGUAGGUCCCAAGGGUAUGGCUGUUCGCCAUUUAAAGUGGUACGCGAGCUGGGUUUAGAACGUCGUGAGACAGUUCGGUCCCUAUCUGCCGUGGGCGCUGGAGAACUGAGGGGGGCUGCUCCUAGUACGAGAGGACCGGAGUGGACGCAUCACUGGUGUUCGGGUUGUCAUGCCAAUGGCACUGCCCGGUAGCUAAAUGCGGAAGAGAUAAGUGCUGAAAGCAUCUAAGCACGAAACUUGCCCCGAGAUGAGUUCU